This 749-nucleotide ribosomal RNA is filed under the name uncultured crenarchaeote. RNAcentral's name for it is "bacterial SSU rRNA". It matches the Rfam family "Archaeal small subunit ribosomal RNA", at positions 82 to 816 of the family's 1478-position model. The record is from RNAcentral. Lineage: Archaea; Thermoproteati; Thermoproteota.
CGCACAGCUCAGUAACACGUGGCUAACCUGCCCUUAGGACGAGAAUAACCCCGGGAAACUGGGGCUAAUGCUCGAUAGGUGAAGAACUCUGGAAUGAGACUUCACUUAAAAGAGUCUGCGUUAUGCUCGUAGAUUUCGCUUAAGGAUGGGGCCGCGACCGAUCAGGUUGUUGGUGAGGUAAUGGCUCACCAAGCCUUCUACCGGUGCGGGCCGUGAGAGCGGGAGCCCGGAGAUGGGCACUGAGACAAGGGCCCAGGCCCUACGGGGCGCAGCAGUCGCGAAAACUUUGCAAUACACGAAAGUGCGACAGGGCUAUCCCGAGUGCCAUCCGCUGAGGAAGGCUUUUACCCAGUCUAGAAAGCUGGGGGAAUAAGGAGAGGGCAAGUCUGGUGUCAGCCGCCGCGGUAAUACCAGCUCUCCGAGUGGUGUGGAUGUUUAUUGGGCCUAAAGCAUCCGUAGCUGGCUAAGUUAGUCCCCUGUUAAAUCCAACGAAUUAAUCGUUGGAUCGCGGGGGAUACUGCUUGGCUAGGGGACGAGAGAGGCAGACGGUAUUUCCGGGGUAGGGGUGAAAUCCUAUAAUCCCGGGAAGACCACCAGUGGCGAAGGCUGUCUGCUAGAACGCGCCCGACGGUGAGGGAUGAAAGCUGGGGGAGCGAACCGGAUUAGAUACCCGGGUAGUCCCAGCUGUAAACGAUGCAGCUAGGUGUUUGGACGGCCACGUGCCGUUCUAGUGCCGCAGGGAAGCUGUU